This is a non-coding RNA of Equus caballus (horse), 3447 nucleotides long. The record is from RefSeq and is a predicted model, not a curated record. Lineage: Eukaryota; Metazoa; Chordata; Mammalia; Perissodactyla; Equidae.
AACAGAUGUUUCCUCGGGGCCAAUCUUCCUCACAAAAAAGUAAUAAAAUAAAAUAUCCUAUUCAUUUUUUCCCCAGGAUUUCCCUGGUCCCAUCAACUUCUAUCAUCGACUCAUCACAUUGUUUAUCCUCUAUACUUGGGUCCCCACACCAUCACCAUGCAAUUUGAAUGUUUUGGAUAAGAACUCAAUCUCUGAAUUUUAGCUCAGUCUUCUUCCUCUUGGUCUACAGUAUGGUAUGGUAGUAAGAACAAGAACUUCAGAACUGAUGGUGUAGCUCAAACUUGAGCUCCACUAUGUGCCAUCUAUGGGACCUUUGGAAAGAUACUUCAGCUCUCUGUGUCUCAGUACUCUCAACUGCUUAAUUAGGGCAAUAACAGGAUCUUUGCCUCUUAGAGGAUAUUGUGAAGAUUAAAAUUAAUGCAUGUAAAGCACUUAAGUCAGUCCAUAGCAUAUAGUAAGUAUUUGGUGAUCAUUAAUAUUGUUAAUCUCCAUUAUCUUUUAUCUGACCAUUGUAGCAAGUACCACUACCUCUGUGCCUGAUUUUACUUAACUGGUUAGUAUUUGUCAGUAAGUUAAUUUGACAGAUCUCUGUUAAAAUCUGAGCAUGUAAAACUGAGAAAGGCAUCUCUGUUAUCAAUUCCAAACAAUGCUUGGACCUUACAUAUACCGAGUCCCUUAAUGAACCCAAUAUCACUAGCCUCAUCCUAUAGCACUAUGCCAGUUACAGGGGGCUCUUCAAACUUCUUUCUUUUGGCCUUUGUCUAUAACAAAUUGGACCUUUUAGUAGUAUGGUAUUCACAUGACCCAACCUGCAGUAUAUUAGAAUCUAUGAUAGAAUAAAGUAAUUUCUACUGAAAUUCACUGUCAUCACUUUGAUGUAAAAUGCAUUUCUUUACUUUCAAACCAUAUUUAGAAUGUCUUUUUGUUUGUUUUGAUCAACUUUUCAUUUGCCCUUGGCCCGAAUCGGCUUUGUAAUUUAUCUAAAUGUGCAAGGGAAGAAACAUUGUCGAAAUAACUCCAUUUUCUUCACAGUGAAAAUAGAUGUUGAAGUAAAACUUUAAUUUGAAAGGAGAAAUCGGAUUUAGUUUCUCAGUGUGAUCCUUUUUAGUGUUCUAUGCCGCUGGGUUUUCAAAUGUUAAUGUAAAAGUGAUGUGUGCAUGAUAAUAACAUCAUGAGUUCAUUCCCUCAGUCCUGGUCUUUGAGUUUAAAGCAUAUGGUCCCUGAAUAGACUGAGCUAAUUGGUGGCAGUCAGAGUGAAAGAGAGUUGCAGUGAUCCCUGACCAGGCUCAGCUGCCGCACUCCAUCCUCGUCAUCUGACUGACUUUUGUUUUAACCCUUCCAAUCUCUUUCUGCUACUUCUCAACCAUCAUUAUUUCAGUUUAAUCAUAUUAGUUGAAAGGUUCAUGAUACCAUGCCCUUGACAAGGCAUGGGUAGGGAAAAGAAAAGUAAGAAAAGGCUAAGAGAGGGGGGGAAACACUUAUAAAGAGUGGACUGAAAUGCAUGCUAUUUUUGAAGUACAGAGGUCUGUGUGCUUUUAUUUUCUCUUUUUUUUUAACUCCUCCAGACUCCUGAUUUUUAUUUUCAGUCCUGUGCCUCUUCCCUGUUCCUCACCGUGUGAGCCAUUGCUGCCUUCCAUGCUAAAUAAAUAAAUAAACAAACAAGCGACAGUGGCCUUGAUUCUUAUAUUCUCUUUCCUGUUAACUAUUGUGCAUAUUAUUUGAUAGAACAGAUGCUAUUUCUGAAUGGCAAUUUUGAAAAAAUUUAAUGUGCUCCUUGACGUUUUUCUUCUCUAGUUUCUGUUUUCUAUUCUUUUUCCCUCUAAAAAAAUUAAUUUACUAUAAUGUAGAAUAUCUUGAGUUUGCUUAGGACAAAUAUUAUUUCCUUUCUUGAACUGUAGAUUUCUGGUAAGAUCAAGGAUAUGCUGUCACAGUGUACAUGCUGUUUAUUUGCUGAUCUCAGGAAUUUUUGAUGUGUCAUUUCUUCCUUAUUCAUUUCCUUUGAGGUUUAUUUGCUUUUGGUAUAAAGAGCUGAACUAGGAUCAUAGAGUGUUGUGUUAAUUUUUGAUGCUGUUAGUUUUCUCAGAAGUUUUGAGCAGCCAAGAGUGGAAUAACUCCAUAGAAUAACUCCACGUUCAGAUGGUGAGAGUUUGGGGAGGGUCUUUUUAUAAAAUCAGUGUUGAAGUCAGUAAGUCAAUAUGGAAAUGGGAGCACAAAAUGGGCAAUUCAAUAAUUAAUGUUUGAAAUGCUUGUGAGUUACAAAUAAAGAUAAUAAUAGUAGUGGCUAACAUUCUUUAGAAGUUCAAGCAUGUUCUAGUCACUGUACUUCAUGUACUUUCUGUGUUAUCGCAUUUAGUUUUUAUAAUAAUCUUCCGAGGUGUAUAGUUAUAGGUGCCUUAAUUAUAAAUGAAAAAAACGGAAGAGCAGAGAAAUUAAAUUGCCUAAUACUGCAGAGCUAGUCAGUGACUAAAAGUUUAUUCAUACUCAAUUAGUUUCCAAUCUGGUGCUGGUAACCAAGCAGAACCCUUGUUCUGUGCCCCUCUCUGCCUCUGCAUAUGUCAUAUAUAAGGAAACUGAGUCUCAGUGAGAUUUCAUGGGUUUCACCACCUCAUAGAACAAUUUAGAACAAGGUUCCCAGACUUCUCUGUGCAUUAGAACCAACCAGGCAUUCUUUUAAAUAUUCCAAACUCAAUCCACACCCUAGAGUAGUUAAAUCACAAUCUCAGGGAGAAAGACACAGGCAUCUGGAAUUUCUGAAGCUCCCUUAUGGGAUUCUAAUGUGCAGACAAGUUUGGGAAACACUGAAUUAGAGAAAAUACUUGGAAAAAGCCAAACUGACCUCAUUCCUAAGCUGUUUUUUCGUUGUAUUGCUCACCCGCAGUUGGUUGGGGAUUCCCAAAAGAAUCUUUCUGCUUCAGCUGGUACUGAGAACUUGUGAUCUAGCUGACAUAUAACUGAGAACUUUACGUGGGUUGUCUCACUCAGUCCUCCCACAAAGUAUGUGAGAAAACUGAGGCUGAGAGAAUUAAAGCAACUUGCUCAAAGUUGUAGACCUAGUUAGUGGGGAGCCAGGAUUCCAAACUCAAGUUUGUUUGACUCAGAGGCUAGGAUGCUGGGACUCAGAGAAUAAUGUUGAUUGUCUCUAUUUUGAGGUCACUUUUCUUUGUUUCUAUCCUUAUAAUACCUGGGAGCCUAUUUGUGUUGUGGGUUUCUAACAUUUCUGUUUGCUGACUCUGGUUCCUCCUGAAGCUUUGAGGUGUGGGACAUCCACAUUUAGCAUUACUCUGGUUGCUUCCCAUGUUGAGAGUCUUAAUCACGCUAAAUGCUGUUUUAAGAGCCUUAGCUAUAUUUAGGUUCCAGCUGUUCUUGCUGAUGAAAAUGCUGGAGCACAGAAACUAUCUCUUUCUUGUGUUCCCCAUGUGGUUCAACUGAAAAAAAAAAAGAGAGAGA